Silurus meridionalis is the source of this 281-nucleotide long non-coding RNA. RefSeq lists it as uncharacterized. NCBI's taxonomy places the organism in Eukaryota, Metazoa, Chordata, Actinopteri, Siluriformes, Siluridae. The transcript is spliced from 3 exons. The record is from RefSeq and is a predicted model, not a curated record.
GUGUCAUUUGAGGGUAUAAUGGUGACAUUUGAGGUGUAGUGGUGACAUCUGAGGGUAUAGUGGUGACAUUUGAGGGUGUAGUGGUGACAUUUGAGGGUAUAGUGGUGACAUUUGAGGGUGUAGUGGUGACAUUUGAGGGUAUAGUGGUGACAUUUGAGGGUGUAGUGGUGACAUCUGAGGGUAUAGUGGUGACAUUUGAGGGUGCAGUGGUGACAUUUGAGGGUAUUGUGGUGACAUUUGGGGUAUAGUGGUGACAUCUGAGGGUAUAGUGGUGACAUUUG